CCUACGGGAGGCUGCAGUGGGGAAUAUUGGACAAUGGGCGAAAGCCUGAUCCAGCCAUGCCGCGUGUGUGAAGAAGGCCUUCGGGUUGUAAAGCACUUUCAGUGGGGAAGAAAGCCUUGGGGCUAAUACCCUCGAGGAAGGACAUCACCCACAGAAGAAGCACCGGCUAACUCCGUGCCAGCAGCCGCGGUAAUACGGAGGGUGCGAGCGUUAAUCGGAAUUACUGGGCGUAAAGCGCGCGUAGGCGGUCUGAUAAGCCGGUUGUGAAAGCCCCGGGCUCAACCUGGGAACGGCAUCCGGAACUGUCAGGCUAGAGUGCAGGAGAGGAAGGUAGAAUUCCCGGUGUAGCGGUGAAAUGCGUAGAGAUCGGGAGGAAUACCAGUGGCGAAGGCGGCCUUCUGGACUGACACUGACGCUGAGGUGCGAAAGCGUGGGUAGCAAACAGGAUUAGAUACUCUGGUAGUC
This 465-nucleotide ribosomal RNA is filed under the name Vreelandella stevensii. RNAcentral describes it as "partial 16S ribosomal RNA". It matches the Rfam family "Bacterial small subunit ribosomal RNA", at positions 338 to 795 of the family's 1533-position model. Lineage: Bacteria; Pseudomonadati; Pseudomonadota; Gammaproteobacteria; Oceanospirillales; Halomonadaceae. The record is from RNAcentral.